Molecule: long non-coding RNA, 800 nt
Filed under: Heterocephalus glaber (naked mole-rat)
Lineage: Eukaryota; Metazoa; Chordata; Mammalia; Rodentia; Bathyergidae
Description: lncRNA (ENSHGLG00000048994.1)
Source: RNAcentral
CUCUGUGAGCACAAAGGAGAAAGGCUGCCCUCAGGGUUGACUGCAUACUGGGGAAAAAUUAAGACAGCUGAGGUUAAGUUGUUUACCAGAGCAUGAACUAAUGGAUACUGGAAAGCAGCUGAAUCUUGUGUUACCUUGAUUGCUUGCAUCCGUGUUUGGGUGAGCUGGGUAAAAGUGAGGUGAGCCAUAAGGCUUGGGUCUCCUCUGCCUGCUAGAAGAUGAGCCCCCUGGCUGCCCACAUGUUGAGCUGACUCCGUGUCUCUGUCAUUCAUUUUCGUUUGUCCGGGGUCAGGGAGGAACAAAGUACCUGGUCUAGGUCCCGGAGCAAGGCCCACCUGGUGGCGCCCCAGUGCGGGGCCGGGGACCCAGGGUUGCCUACAGUUCACACUACUUAUUCUCCUUUUAAUAUCCACGUGAUCUGUAAAUCCUCCCUGUUAUAGGUAAUCCGUAUCCUGGAUUCUGGGGGAUUAUUUAAAGCAGUGGUGGUGAGUGGAUGGCACAUGUGCCACAGCGGACACGCAGAGCCCUCUCUGUCGUAUGUUCUGUCUGGCGUUCACAGUGGACAACUGGGAGUUCACAGUGGAUAACUGCAUGAGGAUCCAUCUUUCAGGAUUCUCCUUCACCAUUUGGGUGCCACUUCCCACUCCAUGUCACCUAGACACCUGGUCACCCACCUAGAGAUGUCAUUUUCCAGGCCCCUACCUGUGCAUCACCAGGCUGUUGGUGGACUGUACUUCAAAGGGUCACAUCUUGCUUGCCCAGAGACUAUACAUCAGGUCCAACCUGGGCAAACCAGCCAC